This 2350-nucleotide long non-coding RNA is filed under the name Nicotiana benthamiana. RNAcentral's name for it is "long non-coding RNA (NBEN_LNC020826)". Lineage: Eukaryota; Viridiplantae; Streptophyta; Magnoliopsida; Solanales; Solanaceae. The record is from RNAcentral.
UCUACCUCUCUAACCCUCAUCUCUCUAGAACCUUCUCGUUUUCUCUGUCUUCUCCGAUGACGACCAUCGCCUCUCCGGAUCACUCCUCAUUCACUUCUCUUGAUCUCCAGCAACCAUGGAGUCCCUGUAUCGCUAUUUUCUCUCUAAAGUUUGAACCCAGCAGUUUCUACCAUGAAGGAGGUCACUGAAGCUUUAUUUGGGUCUGUUUCUGGCUUUUCUCCGGUGGUCUUUGUACGAUGAUGCCUUCUAUGGCAUUGUAUACGAGUUUCACGUCCAGGUUCUCAUUUCCCUAACUUAUUUUGCAAACCCGAAUUUGCUUUGCCUAAUCUCUUAAACUUCUGUCUUUCUAAGCAAUUUCCGGAAUAAUCUUUGUUCUCUACACUCCAUCUCACUCGAUAUAUUUGGUUAACUCGAAUUUUUUCAAACGUUCUGUACCUUUCUUUCAAAACUAGGGUUUCUGACCCUUUUCAAAGUCGUUAUAUCUCCUACUUUUCUUGAGUAUUAUGUUGUUGUUUGUGUUUAUUUGUGUUACGAUUGUUUAAUUUCCUUGUUAAUUUUGAGUUCCAUGCUCAAACAUUCUGGCUAGGGUUUCUCACCCCUUUUCAAAAUCGUAUAUCUUCUGCUUUUCGUGAAUAUUAUGUGUUCGUUUGUGCUUGUUUGUGUUACUAGUUUGUUUGGUUUCCUUGUCAAUUUGAGUUCCCUACUUUAGUUUCUUGCUAGGUUUCUAACCCUUUGUUGCUUCCAUGAUUCCUUGCUUAGGGUUCUCUGAUUUUCAUGUCUACAAUGCUUUGUAGGUCUAAUAGUUCAUUGCUCAUGUGAUAUUCUACUGAUUUGUGCAUCUUUAGGAAUCCAUGAUUUGUAUAUGAUUUUCCUCAAACGUUUUACAGUGAUUUCUUUUGAAUUACUUCCUUAGUUAGAUAUGCUUUCCUUUCUUAUGAGCAUUCCCUCUGAUUUUUGGUUGUGUCCAUGAUUCUUUGGCUAAUUGAAAGAAUUAAUUUGUAUUCCCUUGCCAUAUUUGUGCUUUCAAAAUCGUCAGCAUAUAUUUUCCAUACUUGAAUUAUUAUAUAUCUAACCCCUAUUGCAUAUUAUGUGCUCUACUACUCUUACUGGGGUGAAUAUAGAGUCUGAUUGAUUCUUUUCCUUUUUAAAUCCACUGCUUGUUACUGUUUGUCUUGGAUUCCUUAAUUUAAAGGAAAUCCUUACACUGAUGGGACUGUGAUUGAUUCUCGUUCCCUAAUUAUAGUUUGGUGCCUUGUUUGUUCACUCGUUUUAGUACUAUAAGUACCCUCCCCCCAUUCUCUUUGAGAAAAACCAACACAUUGCAUAUCUCUCAUACUGAGACAUUACAGUCUCUCUGAACUUUCUUUCAAUAACACUCGGUGCUCUCUAUCUCUCUACUGUUUUGUUUCUUUUCUACAAACUCUCUCACUCAAUCGGUGAAGGACAAGAUUGAGUAAUCUUGGUUGUUUACUUCUGCACUACUAAGGUUCUGCUACAUUUUUUGCUUGGGUUUGCCUGCUGCUCUCUUUGCUGCACACUGCCAUUCUCUCUUUGCUGCACAUUGCUGCUCUUAUUCUCUGCAUACUUUGCACUUUAUUGUGCGCUACUGCUUAUUGUUAUUGUUUUCUCCUGUCUGCAACUGGUAUGUUACCUAUUUAAUAUACAGUUUCCAAAACAACAUGUUUUUACUAGUUUUGCAUUUCUUCUUGUUUCUUGUGUGCUUUUAUCUGUGGUUCUGCUGCUCUUGUUGUCACUAGUAUACACUUGCCAACCUAUUUAGCUUAGAUUAGCAUGCUCCCCUUACCCCUUCCCUGUCUCAAUGAAUGUUUACUUUUCUUUGUGCAUUAUUACUAUGUGUCCAUACUUAGAUUAGAAUGCUCAUAUUACCCCUUCCCUAUCUCAAUGAAUGUUUACUUCUCUUUGUGUAUUAUUACUAUGUGUCCAGGGCUGCUUUUCUACUUGAUUAGCCUAAAACCUCUUCCUAGGGUUAAGUGUAUUGCGGUUUGGUGCAGUAAGAACUGAACCCCUAUUUAUUCUACAACCAUGUCUAGUUGCUGUCUACCAACGUGUUGCCUGUGAUUAGUUUGUUUUGCUUAUUUGUUCCCAUUCCCUUGUCCUUGGUUGUGUGAUGCUCUAUUGGUUUCAAAACUGGUAAGUCUACAUGUUUUUCAGAAGGAUUUUUGUAACUUUUCCAACUAUUUUGUUAAACUCUCUCUCAACUUCUCUUAAACUACUUUCUCGAACUGUUUCUCAACUCUUUCUCUUAAAUUGACUCUCAAUUGUUUUAAAAGUCCUGUCCUAACUUCACUACUCUUAUAACCCUAGGUCCUGCCUCCUUGGUGUAAGCACU